AUUGAACGCUGGCGGCAGGCCUAACACAUGCAAGUCGGACGGUAGCACAGGGGAGCUUGCUCCUCGGGUGACGAGUGGCGGACGGGUGAGUAAUGUCUGGGGAUCUGCCCGAUAGAGGGGGAUAACCACUGGAAACGGUGGCUAAUACCGCAUAACGUCGCAAGACCAAAGAGGGGGACCUUCGGGCCUCUCACCAUCGGAUGAACCCAGAUGGGAUUAGCUAGUAGGCGGGGUAACGGCCCACCUAGGCGACGAUCCCUAGCUGGUCUGAGAGGAUGACCAGCCACACUGGAACUGAGACACGGUCCAGACUCCUACGGGAGGCAGCAGUGGGGAAUAUUGCACAAUGGGCGCAAGCCUGAUGCAGCCAUGCCGCGUGUAUGAAGAAGGCCUUCGGGUUGUAAAGUACUUUCAGCGGGGAGGAAGGCGAUGUGGUUAAUAACCGCGUCGAUUGACGUUACCCGCAGAAGAAGCACCGGCUAACUCCGUGCCAGCAGCCGCCGUAA
Molecule: ribosomal RNA, 506 nt
Filed under: uncultured bacterium
Lineage: Bacteria
Description: partial 16S ribosomal RNA
Rfam family: Bacterial small subunit ribosomal RNA
Source: RNAcentral